AGAGAAGCCGGGCAAACGUAUCCGUACCUUCGGAACAAGGAUUGGCUCUAAGGGCUGAACCGGUCGGGCUGAUGCUUCGAAGCGUGUCUGUUGCGGUGGGCACCGGUGAUUAGGAUGUGGUUCGCCGCUGCGCGGUCCUACUGAAGCCGCAAACGGUAACAAAACACGCAGACAGACGACCAAACUGUGUGUGCUUGUCGGUAACUGACAAUCCACUUCGACCGGCAUUGAACAGCCGACUUAGAACUGGCACGGACCUGAGGAAUUAGACUGCAUAAUUAAAAGAAAACAUUGAGACGGUGCAUCGUGGCCGCUGCUUGUGACUGAGAGAAGGCUGCAUAGGCGGACAUACUGACAAACUAUCCC
Molecule: non-coding RNA, 366 nt
Organism: Trichuris muris
Lineage: Eukaryota; Metazoa; Nematoda; Enoplea; Trichinellida; Trichuridae
Source: Rfam